This 497-nucleotide ribosomal RNA is filed under the name uncultured bacterium. RNAcentral's name for it is "partial 16S ribosomal RNA". It matches the Rfam family "Bacterial small subunit ribosomal RNA", at positions 28 to 507 of the family's 1533-position model. The record is from RNAcentral.
GAUGAACGCUGGCGGCGUGCCUAAUACAUGCAAGUCGAACGCAUAGCGAAAGGUGCUUGCACCUUUCAAGUGAGUGGCGAACGGGUGAGUAACACGUGGACAACCUGCCUCAAGGCUGGGGAUAACAUUUGGAAACAGAUGCUAAUACCGAAUACAACUUAGUGUCGCAUGGCACAAAGUUAAAAGGCGCUUCGGCGUCACCUAGAGAUGGAUCCGCGGUGCAUUAGUUAGUUGGUGGGGUAAAGGCCUACCAAGACAAUGAUGCAUAGCCGAGUUGAGAGACUGAUCGGCCACAUUGGGACUGAGACACGGCCCAAACUCCUACGGGAGGCUGCAGUAGGGAAUCUUCCACAAUGGGCGAAAGCCUGAUGGAGCAACGCCGCGUGUGUGAUGAAGGCUUUCGGGUCGUAAAGCACUGUUGUAUGGGAAGAACAGCUAGAAUAGGAAAUGAUUUUAGUUUGACGGUACCAUACCAGAAAGGGACGGCUAAAUACGUG